CCUACGGGAGGCAGCAGUAGGGAAUCUUCCACAAUGGGCGAAAGCCUGAUGGAGCAACGCCGCGUGGGUGAAGAAGGUCUUCGGAGCGUUAAACCCUGUUGUUAGAGAAGAAAGUGCGUGAUAGUAACUGUUCACGAUUCGACGGUAUCUAAACAGAAAGGCACGGCUAACUACGGGCCAGCAGCCGCGGUAAUACGUAGGUGGCAAGCGUUAUCCGGAUUUAUUGGGUGUAAAGGGAGCGCAGGCGGACGUAUAAGUCUGAAGUGAAAGCGUGCGGCUUAACCGGAGUAGUGCAUUGGAGACUGGGAGACUUGAGUGCAGUAGAGGAGAGUGGAACUCGAUGUGUAGCGGUGAAAUGCGUAGAUAUAUGGAAGAACUCCGAUUGCGAAGGCAGCCUUCUGAUCUGUCACUGACACUGAGGUUCGAAAGUGUGGGUAGCAAACAGGAUUAGAUACCCUUGUAGUC
This 465-nucleotide ribosomal RNA is filed under the name uncultured bacterium. RNAcentral describes it as "partial 16S ribosomal RNA". It matches the Rfam family "Bacterial small subunit ribosomal RNA", at positions 338 to 795 of the family's 1533-position model. The record is from RNAcentral.